Molecule: long non-coding RNA, 1995 nt
Organism: Mirounga angustirostris (Northern elephant seal)
Lineage: Eukaryota; Metazoa; Chordata; Mammalia; Carnivora; Phocidae
Exons: 3
Source: RefSeq, a predicted model, not a curated record
UCAGAAUCACGUGCUGAGUGAUGGCCUCCCUCAGCGACCCUACGUACCGCAUUACCUAUGUGCCCGGCCCUAACGGCUCCGCUGACAGACUGCCCUGUGGGGCGUGAAGCCGGUCUGCCCAGAAGUCCCAGGUUCCGCUAGAGGAGGUUGCCUUUGCAGGAACCACUGCAAUCCCUGCGUGUCCAAACUCAUGUUCCGGGUAGGAGACAACAGGUGAUGGAUGAGCUGCCAAGGCUGGGAGGCUGCCAGCAUCCAGCCACGGGCACCCGGGGCUUGGCACCCCUUUCCCAAGGGGAGGUAGACAUGAAUACAUCAACGUGGUGGGGUCAGGUUCAAGUCUGCCUCAAUGAAACCCCGGGGACCUCCUCCUUGAAAAACAACUGGGACAGUGUGACAGCUUUUAAGGAUGCCAAAGAAGAGGGUCCCCGGGGAAAUGUCCCCAGGGAAGGCUCUGCCUGCAGGAGGCUGUGAGUGACAGCCGGCAGGAGCAGGGACAGCUGGCCCGGGUGAACUGUCUGAUUUGCCAGUGACCGGAAGCACCGAACACUUGUCAGGGCUGGGGGUCGCAAUGACCACGGCAGCAGUACCACCGAUUAGUACUGGGGGUGGGGCCUACGGAGCAGUAGAUGGCUCUGAAGGACUUGACCGUGAGAUGGUCACCACGUUGGGGUCCUUGCAGCCCUUCCAGCGGCUUUGUUUGGGGCCUUGAUAAACAAAACCCAUGUCGGGCUUUACGGUUGUCAGAUAAUCUGCGGCUCCUUUAACAUCUGGUUCAUGAUGCGAUUGUUUCUCAUGACAAAUGGGUGGUGGGACAGAAAGAUGAGAAGGAUGGGGACAGAAAUCUCCACCUGGAGAAGCUCCGCACCAAAGCUCCGUGCUGGAGGGGAGGAGAUGGACCGCGCGUGCGGCUCAUGUAUUUGUAAGAGACACACACAAAGGCGACUGCUUUCUCUGAAACAACAGUGCUAAGACACGCUGGCGAGCACACCAAGGAACUCUCCACCAGGCUGUCUGACCUGAGUGGGUCAAGGCGCCUCCCUGCCACAGUCUCUGGUUUCUGAGAUGCUCUCCUCGUUGGUGUUGUGAAAAGCAAGGAGAAAAAGGGAGCAACUGUGCUCUGUAAGCCAGGAGGUGUUUUCCUGAGGUAGUUGUGAAGUUACCUGAGCGAAGGCAUUGAGAGGUGAGGAGCCGUGGAGAUCCUGCCAAGUGAGAGCUACCCCUUAAUGGGGACAAUGACUGCGUAUUAACCAAACUCAUAAUUUCUGUGAAGUACAUGCUUUAACAGCCACGAAGGGGGCUAUUAGCAACCCCUAAGCAAAUUAUGACUCUCCCAACGUGAAGGUCAAGCCUGUGUGUCAACUUCGCUGAGCCACGGUGCCCAGAUAUAUGGUCAAACAUUAUUCUGGAUGUUUCUAUGAGGGUGUAGCAGGAUGAAAGGAACAUUUAAGUCAUUGGACUUUCCGUAAAGCACAUUGUCUUCCAGAAUGUGGGUGGGCCUUAUCUAAUCAGUUGAAGGCCAGGAUUGAACAAAAGAUUGACCUCCCCUGAGCAAGAGGACAUUCUGCCAGAAGACUGUCUCUGGACUUGAACUGCAGUGCUGGCUCUUCCCGGUCUCCAGCUUCCUGGCCUACUUGGCAGAUUUUGGACCUGACAGCCUCCAUAGUCACCAUAAAGACAUGAGCUAAUUCUUUAAAAUAAAUCUCUCUCCUUCUCUCUCUCUCUCUCUCUCUCUCUCUCUCUCUCUCUCACACACACACACACACACACAUACACACACAUUCUAUUGGUUCUGUUUCUUUGGAGAACCCUGACUAAUAUGCCCAUAGACAUCCGGAGUCCUCAGAUAGCUUUCUACUAUAGACUCUUAACAGUCCCAGUGAACAUGAAUUUCACAGGGGACCCGGGUUCAAACUUAGCUAGCCAAUCCUAAGCCUGAUUGUCCUGCUUCGCCUGAUCCUUCCCAUAGAAACCAUGGUGAAGGUUCUUGCCCACAGA